RNAcentral lists this ribosomal RNA (725 nucleotides) under Escherichia coli. RNAcentral's name for it is "partial 23S ribosomal RNA". It matches the Rfam family "Bacterial large subunit ribosomal RNA", at positions 532 to 1256 of the family's 2925-position model. Lineage: Bacteria; Pseudomonadati; Pseudomonadota; Gammaproteobacteria; Enterobacterales; Enterobacteriaceae. The record is from RNAcentral.
AGGGGAGUGAAAAAGAACCUGAAACCGUGUACGUACAAGCAGUGGGAGCACGCUUAGGCGUGUGACUGCGUACCUUUUGUAUAAUGGGUCAGCGACUUAUAUUCUGUAGCAAGGUUAACCGAAUAGGGGAGCCGAAGGGAAACCGAGUCUUAACUGGGCGUUAAGUUGCAGGGUAUAGACCCGAAACCCGGUGAUCUAGCCAUGGGCAGGUUGAAGGUUGGGUAACACUAACUGGAGGACCGAACCGACUAAUGUUGAAAAAUUAGCGGAUGACUUGUGGCUGGGGGUGAAAGGCCAAUCAAACCGGGAGAUAGCUGGUUCUCCCCGAAAGCUAUUUAGGUAGCGCCUCGUGAAUUCAUCUCCGGGGGUAGAGCACUGUUUCGGCAAGGGGGUCAUCCCGACUUACCAACCCGAUGCAAACUGCGAAUACCGGAGAAUGUUAUCACGGGAGACACACGGCGGGUGCUAACGUCCGUCGUGAAGAGGGAAACAACCCAGACCGCCAGCUAAGGUCCCAAAGUCAUGGUUAAGUGGGAAACGAUGUGGGAAGGCCCAGACAGCCAGGAUGUUGGCUUAGAAGCAGCCAUCAUUUAAAGAAAGCGUAAUAGCUCACUGGUCGAGUCGGCCUGCGCGGAAGAUGUAACGGGGCUAAACCAUGCACCGAAGCUGCGGCAGCGACGCUGAUGCGUUGUUGGGUAGGGGAGCGUUCUGUAAGCCUGUGAAGG